GUGAAUCAUCGAAUCUUUGAACGCAAAUUGCACUCUCCGGUUUUCCGGGAGAGUAUGCCUGUUUGAGGGUCAGCCUAAAAAAAAUCGACAUUGUUGCUGUUAUUUAAUGGUGACUUUCGUCGGAGAUUGGGUUAUCUUAAACCUUUUUUUUUUUUUUUGCGGCGACUAAUAUUUUUUCUUGAUGAUUUCAUG
This 192-nucleotide unclassified non-coding RNA is filed under the name Glomeraceae sp. RNAcentral describes it as "partial contains 5.8S ribosomal RNA and internal transcribed spacer 2". The stretch from base 1 to 72 matches the Rfam family "5.8S ribosomal RNA", at positions 84 to 154 of the family's 154-position model. Lineage: Eukaryota; Fungi; Glomeromycota; Glomeromycetes; Glomerales; Glomeraceae. The record is from RNAcentral.